GUCAGAGCUUAUGAGACAAGAAUGGAUUGUGUGAGAGCUGUAAUUGUUGGGGCGGAGGGUACUCCUUACCAUGAUGGUCUCUUCUUCUUUGAUGUUUGCUUCCCCAGUGGCUAUCCCAAUGUACCACCAGAAAAGGUGAUUUUUGUUUUCUGGAACCGUUUGGAGAGCGCACGGCUUGAGGAUCUCUGACCCAAGGUAAAAGAUGCACUACGUUGCAGACUAUUAUUCUCUUUUGGCUAUAACAAGAAACUUGAUUGUAUUUGUUUUGGGAUCUAUAAAAGGAUAUUACAUGGAACAUAUCUGGGCUGUUGAUACCAUACUUGGAUUCUAAACUCUCCAAAGCUGCCUUCAUCUGGUGAAAAAUAGGAUGGUUUUAUUUUUUUGUGAGACUUAAGAGGUUACCUUCUGCAAACGCAUAAAUGGACUUUUGAAGAAGGCUUGUGACCUCUCUACCCUCUACGAUGCUGAAGUUGCCCUCAUGAUCAUCUUCUCUCCCUCUGGCAUGGCGUGCCGAUUUACAGGCAAAAGAAGUGGAAUUGAAAAGCAGAAUGCUUUAGAGAAAGCACCCAAGCUUCAGGUAAUAAUGGAACUCAUGAUUUGAAUGGGUUUGAGGGUUAGUUUCUAGGAAUGUUCCAUUGGUGUUCUUUUUCUUCUACACAGUACCAAAAUCUCAAGUCCCCAUUUGAUCCUCGACUACGACCCAAUCAUAUUUGCUGUAAUACAAUCAUAUUCUUGAGGUUAAAGUUUUUACUCAACCUCAUUACUUGCAAAAUUUUGUUCAGUCAACAUUCAAUACCCUGCCAUCAGAUCAAGUUAAAGGUACGAAUUACUAAAUCAUACUAUUUUCGUCACUUUUUAUUCCUUGCUGAACACAAUGGAGUGAAUUGUCUUCAUUUGCAUUCUUGCAUUUGAACUUAAGUAUGUUCUUACCUGACAUUUAUAAGCUUUUGGUUAGUCAUCAAAUAUGAUACAUUUUCUCCGUGUUUACAAACUUAUGACAUGCAAUCGGUUUCUUUUUGGUUGGGUUGAAAUGAUAUUGAUUGUGCUGUUAUAAAGCUUCUUUUUAUAGUUAGGUUGUUAAUAGAUUCUUUUUUUUGGUUGGUCUGAUAUGUAAUAGAUGAGAUUGUUUUGUUUGAAUCAAAAUUUGAUCUUUUUUGUGUGAAAUUAUAAUGGAAUCGCAAAGUUUUCAGGUAUCUCUUUUUUGUGUGAAAUAUGUGUGGAUUGCAUCUUGCUUUUGUUUCUUCUUCUGUCUUAUGCUGCAUCUUUUUUACUUUGAACAUUAGUGCUUGAAAACUUAGCUGCUGAAACAAGAACGAAACACUUUUUAUGUUUUUUUUAGGUGGCCUGUAGGACAUAUAUUUUACCAUCUUAACUUCAAGGGCAAUAUAUGUGUAAAAUGCAUGUUGCUUCUGUUUCUCAGGGCAACAGAGCAUUUUUUGCAACCACAUCUUUUGUAAUCAACUUAGUUGAAUGUGUAUAAAAGUCAAGCUGCUUAUCUUACCGACACCGUUCACUCAUCUAUUCCUUUUGUUCGUUCAUGAUUAUGUUGAAUUUUUUUUCAAGUUAAAUGUGUCUUAUCAUGUAGUUAAGAAUGAUGCAUUCAAGUCCCGCAGAAAUGUGCGAGCAUAUUUACUAGUCAUUUCUAAGCCAUUAGGAACAUCAAAAGUUUUCCAACUUGUUGGCAUUGCCUUGUAACUCCAUUACUUGUGACAGAGAUCUUGGAUUCAUUUCACAAGAUUGUAGAAAAAUUAGACAUCGACGAAUUUUAUGAAACUUAGGACUUU
Molecule: long non-coding RNA, 1784 nt
Organism: Pyrus x bretschneideri (Chinese white pear)
Lineage: Eukaryota; Viridiplantae; Streptophyta; Magnoliopsida; Rosales; Rosaceae
Exons: 7
Source: RefSeq, a predicted model, not a curated record